UUGUUUAUCUGUAAAGGAUUUUAUUUCUCACUUAUGAAGCUUAGUUUGGCUGGAUAUGAAAUUCUGGCUUGAAAGUUCUUUUCUUUAAGGAUGUUGAAUAUCGGCCCUCAGUCUCCUCUGGCUUAUAGAGUUUCUGCUGAGAAAUCUGUUGUAAGUCG
Sapajus apella (tufted capuchin) is the source of this 158-nucleotide long non-coding RNA. RefSeq lists it as uncharacterized. The record is from RefSeq and is a predicted model, not a curated record. Lineage: Eukaryota; Metazoa; Chordata; Mammalia; Primates; Cebidae. The transcript has 3 exons.